Molecule: ribosomal RNA, 251 nt
Filed under: uncultured bacterium
Lineage: Bacteria
Description: partial 16S ribosomal RNA
Rfam family: Bacterial small subunit ribosomal RNA
Source: RNAcentral
UACGGAGGGAGCUAGCGUUGUUCGGAAUUACUGGGCGUAAAGCGCACGUAGGCGGCUUUUUAAGUCAGGGGUGAAAUCCCGGGGCUCAACCCCGGAACUGCCCUUGAAACUGGAGAGCUAGAAUCUUGGAGAGGCGAGUGGAAUUCCGAGUGUAGAGGUGAAAUUCGUAGAUAUUCGGAAGAACACCAGUGGCGAAGGCGACUCGCUGGACAAGUAUUGACGCUGAGGUGCGAAAGCGUGGGGAGCAAACA